RNAcentral lists this long non-coding RNA (1421 nucleotides) under Carassius auratus (goldfish). RNAcentral's name for it is "lncRNA (ENSCARG00000025858.1)". The record is from RNAcentral. Lineage: Eukaryota; Metazoa; Chordata; Actinopteri; Cypriniformes; Cyprinidae.
CAAAAUAGAAAAGUUGUCUAGUUCUCUAAUCAAAAUAGGAUAAUAAUCAAAUCAACAUAAUUUAAUUUAUUUUUAUUAAAAUAAUAUUUUUUUUUUUUUUGAGAAUGUUUACUUCUACUUUUCUACAAAAGCUGACAGAGAGAAACGCACAAGAAUUACAAUGUACUUGUAAUGUACCUGUACAAAUGGCAAUACAUUUCAAAUUAAUAUCAAAAUAGGAUUAUUUUGAUAUUAUAUAACUAUAUAACCUAUAAGCUGUAUAAAAAUGAAAGCAAUAAACUUAAUAUAUAACUUCAAAUACGUUACUAAUAUGUUUUUCUUCUGCGCUUUACGCUCUCGUCCCGUUGGUGGCAGUAAAGCGCAAAAACAUGUAUUGCCACUUGGCAUCAAAAACGUAGAAGAAGAAGAAGAUAAGACCUGGCUGGCGUCGUUUCCGGAUCCUUCUUUCGCUUGAGGACGUCUGUGCGAGCAGAGUCAACUCUCUUGCAUCUCUGAGAUGGACUUGAGGUGGUUUGAGGCCUGCUGUUUACCUUCUGCACUAAAUGGAAGUUCCUUGAAGCCUUCAGAGAGCAUUUAUCUGGCCACCUUAAUGUUAUGUAUCGGUCAUGAGUUUCUCCCCAUCUGUUACAAGAAGAAUUGGUUUGCUGUUGUGUUGGAUCACCAAGUGUUCAUUUUGAGCAAGGCAAGAUAUUAGGAAAGCAGUAAAUAUUACACACUGAGAUUGACAUGGAACAUUAUUUUUGGUGCAUUUGUUGUUUGAAUGCUGAGUAGUGUUAAAACCCAGAGGUGAAAACUGUUUGAUUUAAUAAAUGUUCAGCUGAAUAAAGAGAGAAAAUCCUUUAAACAAAGUUGUCUUUUUUUCACUUUAUUAAAAGCAUGUUGGUAUCAUGAGACUAAUUGUCAAACAUGCUGUGUAUAGCAAAUAGCUGGCAGCACAUUAUCCUGCUUACUACAUGAUUAUUUGACUCCUAAGUAAUUAUACAUUAAUUUGAGUUCAUCUUUACAUGCUUUUAAUAAACUUAAAGCUCCUGCCAAUUAAAGCAGUAUUUAGCAAGUGGCUUUUAUCCAAGUUGAACAAACUAGAUCAAACAAGGAAUAAUGUACAUGCCACUACCCAACAAAUAAUUGUUUGAGAUUUUACUUGUCUUAUACAUUAUCUUAAAACGUGCUGCUAAUGGGGAAAAUGCUCAAGACCAUUAACCUCACAACAGGAUGAACACUACAACGUGUGGUGUCCCGUGUAACAGUGUAUAACUGAAGAUGCAUAUGGUGAACCUACGUUGUACAGGUCCUUCUCAAAAAAUUAUAUUGUGAUAAAAGUUCAUUAUUUUACAUAAUGUAAUAAAAAUUUAACUUUCAUAUAUUUUAGAUUCAUUGCACACCAACUGAAAUAUUUCAGGUCUUUUAUUGUUUUAAUACUG